GGAAUUUACAUCUUCCCAAGACAAAUAAAAUACCUCUGACACUCAACUCAGAGUGCUUGCCCAUGAUUAUAUCAUGGAGAGAGUGUCGUUUUUAAAUCUGGGGAGUAAGGAAUGCAGAGAAGGAAAUGAAGAAUAAGUUAAGAGCUUUCUGCCAUUGUUAGACUCAGGAGGGGUUCUGAAUUUCAGAACCAGGCUGCUCAUUGAUGAUAUCUUGACUCUCCCAGGUUCUCACCAGGAUCCAAUGGCCCUAAGGAGACAAGUACAUUUGCUUGGAAAACUGGUCACCUAAUUCCCAAAAGGACAGAGCUAACAUUAUAUGUCUCAGCAUCCAGUCCAUCCUAGAUGGAUUUCGAUUCUAUCUAGGGAAUCUCAUCAAACAACCAGGGAGGAUCAACCACCAGAGAAAAGAAGAGACUGGGAGUCAUCACCAUGUCCCCAACAGAAUUUUCAUCUAUCCUUCUGAGGACAGCUCCAAGUGAUUACCUAGAGGACUUUGCUUCAUAAUAAGUCAACCUUCAUUCCUGUGCAGCCCCACCUCUCACCUUCCCAAAAUGUCUGCCUCCCAUCUUCUGGGUCCAUUCAUUCUCUCAAAUGAUUUGCUGCCCCUCAAAAGAAUUUUCCACGUUCCUCAUCUCUCCCCUCCCCUGGGAAAAAGCAUAUAUAAGCUUCUAUACCACCCUGGGUUAUUGGGUAAUCAUUCUCCAGCAAUUCUCCCAUCCUGUGCACAUCAAAUAAAUUCUGUAUGCGUUUUCUUUUAUUAAUGUGCUUUUUGUCUGUUGAUUUUCAGUGAGUCUUUAGAGGGCAAAGGGGAAAUUUUCUCCCUGCAAGAGUCUUAUUAUCCGAGUGUCUCUGCAAGCAGCACGUGGG
This 867-nucleotide long non-coding RNA is filed under the name Homo sapiens (human). RNAcentral's name for it is "HSALNT0271496". Lineage: Eukaryota; Metazoa; Chordata; Mammalia; Primates; Hominidae. The record is from RNAcentral.